Molecule: ribosomal RNA, 420 nt
Filed under: bacterium
Lineage: Bacteria
Description: partial 16S ribosomal RNA
Rfam family: Bacterial small subunit ribosomal RNA
Source: RNAcentral
UGGGGGAUAUUGCACAAUGGGUGAAAGCCUGAUGCAGCGACGCCGCGUGGGGGAUGAAGGCUUUCGGGUUGUAAACCUCUUUCGCUAUCGAACAAGGCCCGCUUAGGGUGGGUUGAGGGUAGGUGGAGAAGAAGCGCCGGCUAACUACGUGCCAGCAGCCGCGGUAAUACGUAGGGCGCGAGCGUUGUCCGGAAUUAUUGGGCGUAAAGGGCUUGUAGGCGGCUUGUUGCGCCUGCUGUGAAAACGCGGGGCUUAACUUCGCGCGUGCAGUGGGUACGGGCAGGCUUGAGUGUGGUAGGGGUGACUGGAAUUCCAGGUGUAGCGGUGGAAUGCGCAGAUAUCUGGAGGAACACCGAUGGCGAAGGCAGGUCACUGGGCCAUUACUGACGCUGAGGAGCGAAAGCAUGGGUAGCGAACAGG